RNAcentral lists this ribosomal RNA (253 nucleotides) under uncultured bacterium. Its description in RNAcentral is "partial 16S ribosomal RNA". It matches the Rfam family "Bacterial small subunit ribosomal RNA", at positions 524 to 776 of the family's 1533-position model. The record is from RNAcentral.
UACAGAGGGUGCAAGCGUUAAUCGGAAUUACUGGGCGUAAAGGGUGCGUAGGUGGUUAGAUAAGUUAGGUGUGAAAGUCCUGGGCUUAACCUGGGGAUUGCGCCUAAUACUGUUUAACUGGAGUACUGUAGAGGAAGGUGGAAUUUCCAGUGUAGCGGUGAAAUGCGUAGAUAUUGGAAGGAACAUCAGUGGCGAAGGCGGGUCUCUGGGCAACAACUGACGCUGAGGAGCGAAAGCGUGGGGAGCGAACAGG